Long non-coding RNA from Bos taurus (domestic cattle), 1282 nucleotides. Lineage: Eukaryota; Metazoa; Chordata; Mammalia; Artiodactyla; Bovidae. The record is from Ensembl.
CCUCACCCGAGCGUGGCGAGGCUGGCCAGCCCGGAGCAGAGCCUUCCCGGGGCAGCUGGGGGCACGUCCGCAGGGCGGGGGACAUGGGGUGCCCAGGGCCGGAGCCGGGCCGUGGGGCAACCUCUGCCUCAUUCUCUGCCGCUGCCCAGCAGCAGCACACACGCUGGUCUGUGUGCCAAGGGGUGCCUGACGCCACAGCUUCGGACCGCGACACUCGGCCUGCGUUUCAGGUUACGCAUGACACAGAAAGGGCUUCCCACCCCAGAGUGGACCCAGAACUGAAGUAACAUGUCGAAACUGCCCUGCUGGGGUCGCUCAGUCGCUUAGUCAUGUCCGACUCUUUGCGACCCCAUGGACUGCAGCACGCCAGGCUUCCCUGUCCUUCACCAUCUUCCUGAGUUUGCUCAGAUUCAUGUCCAUUGAGUUGGUGAAGCCAUCCAACCAUCUCAUCCUCUGUUGUCCCCGUUCUCCUCCUGCCUUCAAUCUUUCCCAGCACCAGGGUCUUUUCCACUGAGUUGGCUCUUCGCAUCAGGUGGCCAAAGGAUUGGAGCUUUGACUUCAGCAUGUCAUGAGAAACUUGAAACAGAAAGUUCUCAACUGGGAAAAACCAGAAUUCUUCUCCUGAAGAGAUGUUGUCCCCCAGGCAAUGUUGCGCAGAAAAGAAUUUGGCUGGAGCUCUUUUUUUCCCCAUGGUGACUCCAUUCACAUUAGAAUUAUGUCCUUUUUCAAAAGAAGAUUCCUUGUGAUUGUUGACAAUUUUAAAAGGGGAUUGCUUUUCGAGACACUUGUGGGUCUUGUGUAAAUAUUCUUUCUUCGGAAAUAGAUGUACUAACCGUAAAAGUUGGUAAAAGGUCCUCCUCUAGCAAUGCAAAUGCAAAUUAGAUGUUAGAAAAAUACAAGAUUCUGGACUUAAAGAUGUAUAUACAUAUAAACUUAAUAAAUUAUAUGUGUAUACACACGCACUGUAUAUCACAUAUACACACUCAUCAUAUAUUACCUGUGUACUUCAGUUAUGUAUCUUCAUCUAGAAUGUGUAUGAACUAUCACACCCAGACGUUUCUGGUCCUCCAGUCUGGACGCUGCCCACCCCCUCCCUGGUGGGGAGGCCCCCCUGCUUCUGGAAGUGCCUCCACUGUUCACACCCAGGCCCAGCCUGAGCGCGUCCCAGCCUCAGUCUUCAUCUCUCAGAUCCUGCCCUGAGCUUAUCUCCUCCUCUGACUCAGACCCUGUGACACAGGGCACCAGCCACUGGCUUCUGCGUCUUAGCCGUGCUGGGCCCAAG